Long non-coding RNA from Pipistrellus kuhlii (Kuhl's pipistrelle), 1580 nucleotides. RefSeq lists it as uncharacterized. The transcript has 3 exons. NCBI's taxonomy places the organism in Eukaryota, Metazoa, Chordata, Mammalia, Chiroptera, Vespertilionidae. The record is from RefSeq and is a predicted model, not a curated record.
ACCUCUUCCGAGGGCGGCAGAGGAGACGGCCCCGCUCAUUAGCAGCACGAGCCGCGGGCAGGCAGACCGGGCAGCGCUCACAAGGCCGGCUCCUCUGGCUGCGGACGCCAUCGGGGCCCACCGGGGGAGCCGCGCCCGGCCCGCAGACAGCCUCGUGUCAGAAUGCCCGGGGCAGACUGAGCUCCUCCGCCUCACAAGACGGGUCAUUCCCUCCGGGCUUCCAAGCGGGUCCUGGAGCUGUUCUCUUGUUCCCGAGCUCUGUUGGUAUUGAAGUCUGGGCGGCCUGACAGCCCUGGCAGACAGCCCAGAGGCCAGCGCCCCAGGCAGACACUCUCUGCUUGUAAUUCAGCCUCGGCCGCCUCUGCGAUUGGGUGGCAUUUGUGAGCACAAAAGGGAAGACGCGGGCCUUGAGGAGGCGCUCGGAAAGGGCACUGCAGGCCCCCGGCUGGUCUCCUGAGGGCCGACUUUACAGCAAGUGGAGAAUAUUCUAUAUAAUGUGGCCUGUGCGCCAUCUGUGCUGACGGCAGGUUCCCUGAGGGCGGUGGCUGCGUCUGAAGCCAGGCAAUUUGGAUGGAUCUUCUGGAACAUCCAUGAACCAAGCCCCCUUAAUCCUGCCAUGGUGGGAGCUACAGGCUUAGGGCAAGAGGAGCCUGCAAUCGGGAGGACAAGAAGAAAAACGGACCACCCAGGAGCACUUAGAGGUUAUGGAUGAAGAGUUAACACAUUCAGAGAAGUGAGGGGAGGACAGGUGCUGCAGGGAAGAGGUGCAUGUGACAGAACAGACCACCAGGGAAGGAAGGCCUCCUGCAUAGCUGGGGAUUUGUGUGGCUUGGGAAGAUUUUAGAGACAGAGGUGACUAAGAUAACCACAGUAAAAGCUUGUCUGUUUAGUGCUUGACCCCCUACCAAGCACUGUUCUAAAACCUCAUAUUCAUUAAAUUCUUACAAGAACCCCAUUGCACCCCCAUUUUACAGAUGUGGAAACUGAGGUAUGGAGACUUGAAGUAACCUCUCCAAGGUGCCCAGGUAGUAAGAGGUUAAGGGAGAAGAUCCAGUGUGAAUCCCAACCAUCGCACUCCACUCUCUCCAGUAACGACCUCAGCAGAACCUUAAGCUUUGGUGCCGUUUCCCAAGUCUGCCCCAUCCCCUAGCUGGCUCUGAGUACCCACGGAGUGGCCAGGCAGCUGUUUCUGCUCCAUUUCCUAGGUGAGGGUGCUGCAAACUACCAGAGGCUCCACAGAAACGAAGAGGCAGAAGUGGGGCUCACGUCCCUGUCACCACGCCUGGCCCCCUGCCUGCGAGAAAGCCUUGGGGAUGUCUGUCCUCUGCCUCGGCAAGCAGAGGGCAUUUGGGAAAUGACAUUGAAAGGCAGCAGGCAGGAGCGUUCUGCUCCUUUCCCCAGCCCACCCUCUCCCAGCCGUAAGAUAUAUAUAGCACCAGCGGAGAAGUGAAUCGUGUGUUUGUCUGCAGCCCCUUUCUGCAGAUCCAUCACGGAGCCGCGCUCGGUGCAGAUUUUGCAAACAGCUUGAGAUUGCUGAAUUAAUUAGAAUAAAAUUAAUCAAAACACCCACCACAAAGGAA